UACAGAGGGGGCGAGCGUUGUUCGGAAUUACUGGGCGUAAAGGGCGCGUAGGCGGCCCGCUAAGUCGAACGUGAAAUCCCCAGGCUCAACCUGGGAACUGCGUCCGAUACUGGCAGGCUUGAAUCCGGGAGAGGGAUGUGGAAUUCCAGGUGUAGCGGUGAAAUGCGUAGAUAUCUGGAGGAACACCGGUGGCGAAGGCGGCAUCCUGGACCGGUAUUGACGCUGAGGCGCGAAAGCUAGGGGAGCAAAC
This 250-nucleotide ribosomal RNA is filed under the name uncultured bacterium. Its description in RNAcentral is "partial 16S ribosomal RNA". It matches the Rfam family "Bacterial small subunit ribosomal RNA", at positions 524 to 773 of the family's 1533-position model. The record is from RNAcentral.